RNAcentral lists this ribosomal RNA (579 nucleotides) under uncultured bacterium. RNAcentral describes it as "bacterial SSU rRNA". It matches the Rfam family "Bacterial small subunit ribosomal RNA", at positions 338 to 916 of the family's 1533-position model. The record is from RNAcentral.
CCUACGGGAGGCAGCAGUGAGGAAUAUUGGACAAUGGGCGCAAGCCUGAUCCAGCCAUGCCGCGUGCAGGAAGACGGUCCUAUGGAUUGUAAACUGCUUUUGUACGGGAAGAAACACUCCUUCGUGAAGGAGCUUGACGGUACCGUAAGAAUAAGGAUCGGCUAACUCCGUGCCAGCAGCCGCGGUAAUACGGAGGAUCCAAGCGUUAUCCGGAAUCAUUGGGUUUAAAGGGUCCGUAGGCGGUUUAGUAAGUCAGUGGUGAAAGCCCAUCGCUCAACGGUGGAACGGCCAUUGAUACUGCUAGACUUGAAUUAUUAGGAAGUAACUAGAAUAUGUAGUGUAGCGGUGAAAUGCUUAGAGAUUACAUGGAAUACCAAUUGCGAAGGCAGGUUACUACUAAUGGAUUGACGCUGAUGGACGAAAGCGUGGGUAGCGAACAGGAUUAGAUACCCUGGUAGUCCACGCCGUAAACGAUGGAUACUAGCUGUUGGGCGCAAGUUCAGUGGCUAAGCGAAAAGUGAUAAGUAUCCCACCUGGGGAGUACGUUCGCAAGAAUGAAAACUCAAAAUGAAUUGACGG